GGUAUGGGAUGAGCUUGCGUCCGAUUAGCUAGUUGGCGGGGCAACGGCCCACCAAGGCGACGAUCGGUAGCCGGCCUGAGAGGGUGAUCGGCCACAUUGGGACUGAGAUACGGCCCAGACUCCUACGGGAGGCAGCAGUAGGGAAUAUUGCACAAUGGGGGGAACCCUGAUGCAGCAACGCCACGUGUGGGAAGAAGCAUUUCGGUGUGUAAACCACUGUCGUGAGGGAAUAAGGCCCAGUUUCGGCUGGGAUUGAAUGUACCUCGAAAGGAAGCACCGGCAAACUUCGUGCCAGCAGCCGCGGUAAUACGAGGGGUGCAAGCGUCGUUCGGAAUCACUGGGCGUAAAGGGAGCGUAGGCGGAGAUUCAAGCGGAUUGUACAAUCCCGGGGCCCAACCCCGGCUCUGCAGUCCGAACUGGAUCUCUUGGAUAGUUCAGGGGCAGGC
RNAcentral lists this ribosomal RNA (446 nucleotides) under uncultured rumen bacterium. Its description in RNAcentral is "bacterial SSU rRNA". It matches the Rfam family "Bacterial small subunit ribosomal RNA", at positions 217 to 662 of the family's 1533-position model. The record is from RNAcentral.